Molecule: ribosomal RNA, 380 nt
Filed under: Parascedosporium tectonae
Lineage: Eukaryota; Fungi; Ascomycota; Sordariomycetes; Microascales; Microascaceae
Description: LSU rRNA
Rfam family: Eukaryotic large subunit ribosomal RNA
Source: RNAcentral
GUCGAGUUGUUUGGGAAUGCUGCUCAAAAUGGGAGGUAAACCCCUUCUAAAGCUAAAUAUUGGCCAGAGACCGAUAGCGCACAAGUAGAGUGAUCGAAAGAUGAAAAGCACUUUGAAAAGAGAGUUAAACAGCACGUGAAAUUGUUGAAAGGGAAGCGUUUGCGACCAGACUUGUGCUCGUCGAAUCAGCCGUCGCUCGUCGGCGGUGCAUUUCGGCGGGCUCAGGCCAGCAUCAGUUCGCUGUAGGGGGAGAAAGGCGGAAGGAAUGUGGCUCUUCGGAGUGUUAUAGCCUACCGUAUAAUACCCCUCGGUGGACUGAGGACCGCGCAUCUGCAAGGAUGCUGGCGUAAUGGUUGUCAGCGACCCGUCUUGAAACACGG